Molecule: long non-coding RNA, 6448 nt
Filed under: Octopus vulgaris (common octopus)
Lineage: Eukaryota; Metazoa; Mollusca; Cephalopoda; Octopoda; Octopodidae
Source: RNAcentral
AUUGGUUUGCUAUGAGUAGUGAAAUAAUGUAACGCAUAUUUUUGAUCAGAGAGGUGGAUAGAAGGAUAGCUAGAUAUUUAGAUAGAUCGACAUGUAGAUAGAUAGAUAGAUAGAGAGAGAGAGAGAGAGAGAGGUAGAUAGAUAAGUUUCUUUAUUGGCCACACAGGGCUGCACACAGAUGGGACAAGUUACAAGGUAGAGCUUUUCUUUUGGGGGAUGAAAAAAACAAAAGAAACAAAAAAAUAAGGUGGCGUAGGUUUUCGAUCAAAAGGGAUCGGAUCGUAAAAGGAAAAAAAAAAAACAAAAAAUAAAAAAAAAGAAGAAAAGGAAAAGGAACAAAAGAAAAGAGAAAUGAAAAAAAAGAAGAAAAAACGGGAAAAAAGGGGGGAAGAGGAAAAAAAAACGAUCAAUAGGGAUCGUGUAUCAGUGAUAUGAUGCAUGGUGUAAAGGGGAAAGCAAGUAAGGUUUAUCCGUGGGAAGAAAAGCCUACGAAAAAGACCACGGUAACCUUGGUCAAUAUUGUUAUAUGUUACCACAUUUGUUUGCAAGUGGGUAACCCUCUGUUUUCAAUUUCUGGGUUCAUAGGAUUAUGCUCAAGGUGGCUUCGUCAUUCAUACGUGCCAUCCUUGCUACAUUCACCCAUCUUUGUUUAAAACAUUCGCUAGACAAAACUUGCCUCUCUACUCUCACUUUCCUUUUCAAGUGGUACUUGAAGAAGUUGAUGAGAGAUUGACCAGAGAGGAAAGUGUUUGUCUCCAAUCCUUUCAGACGCGUCCACCAGAUACAUUCUUUCGCCAUAGCCACAAGGAUGAUGAAAAUAGCUCUUCCUUCCCGUUUGAAGGAAGGAACCGUGACAAUAUUGACGAUAGACUCAGCUGAUAAACCGACUCGUCCCACACGUGACAGCAGUUGUUCGACAUAAGCCCACAGGUCGGAAAUUGUUGGACACUGCACGCUCUCGUGCAGAACGGUUUCGUCGCUCUGACCGCAUCUCAGGCAGGUCGGCCCCGUGUUUCUUGAGCCGUGUCUGUAGAGCUUAUCCCAAACGGGUAGCGCUUCUCGGUAGCACUGCCAGGCCAGGGAUCUCUGAAAGUUGUCCAUGGGCCCUGGCCCGAAAGUCGUCCCGAACAGGCGGGUCAGGUACUCCGCGUAUGCAGACACGCUCGUCCCGCAUCCCAGUUCUCGCGGGAUGCCCCUCAAAGUUGCCAGCUUCCGCAAUAAUGGCUCGAGAGUCAAUACGUAUAGAAGCAACGAGAGGGGCCAUCUCUGACGGACCGAACGUGCGAUGUUGAAAGGUCUCGAUAGAUGUCAAUUUACGCGAAUUACCGAACGGAUGCCUCUGUACAAAGCGGCUAUCCAGCCGCGGAAGACAGGACCGAAGCCAGCCGCUCUGAGAACUGCCUCCAAGUAUCGAUGGUCCACCCUAUCGAAAGCUUUUGAUUGAUCCAAAUUUAUCAGCGCCCCACCCAUGCCGGAUUCGUUAACUACCCUGUCUAUGAUGUAGUGCAUCAGGUGGAGGUUGUCAUGGAUGGUCCGGCCCGGCACGGCACAUGUUUGCGCCUUGUCGACCAGUUUCUCGAUGACAAGCGCCAACCUCUUGGCUAGCACCUUGGCCAAAAUUUUCAAGUCUGCAUUAAGCAGGGUGAUGGGCCUAAAGUUAUAUAUUACAUUUCCCUUGUUUAGAUCUUUCUUCAGCAGUGUUACGGCUCCUCGGCUCACAAAACCAGGAAUGCUCCCGUUUUGCUGCCAGUUGCAGUACACCGCCGCCAAGACAUCUCCAAACAAGUCUGGCAUACAAUUGUAAAGCUCGUAGGGUAGACCAUCCAAACCCGGUGAUUUGUCCCUCGAGCAUUCUGCCAUCGCGUCCUGCACUUCCGCCGCCGUGAUGGCACCUUCACAGCACCCUGCCUCUCUUGUCGAGAGUCAUGGUAGGCUGUGUAGGUAGGCACUGAAGUCCACCCUACGUUCUUGCCCGCCACUCAUCCCGAACAGUCGGGCAAAAUGCUGUUGAAAGGCCUCACACAUUUUACUUGGCUCAAGCAAUUCGCGCCCCUGUUCAUCUACCAGAGACCGAAUGGUGGCUUUGUUGCCCUGUUGCGCCUCUGCCACCCGGGUCUCUCUCGUGGCUCCAACACCUUCAUUCCUUAGAGCACGCAUCCUAGCUCUGACAGCACACCCUUCGUGUUUGGCGUUGAAAUGUUGGUCGAGGGCCAACCUCGCCGCCAAAACGUCGGAUGCGAUGCCGCUUCUAAUUGCUUCUUCUAGCUUCUUAACUAGCUCACCCUCUACUCUAUUUCUAUCUAUGGCUAGUGCUUUGCUGUACCUAAUCGCUUCUGCUUUUACUGCUCUCUUGAGGGCAAACCACUAUUUGUUGUUGAUGAUGGCUCCCGUCAAAGCCCUCUUUACUAGUGUGUUAAUCUGGUUUCUGAAAACCUGUCACGAUGGGAAAAACGCGUUUAGUUUCCAGUAUCUGGGACCCUGCCUAAGUGUCUUACCUAAGUCUAGCGUACAUGUCACAAGUUUGUGAUCCAUGUAGCUGACUAUGUGGAAUUGUGGACAUCCUAUGCUAUCUCUAUCUACUGUCCUACACAGUAUCCUAUCUAGAUACGAUCUCGACAACCCGAUGCGGUUGCUCCAUGUCCACGUUGGCGCAUUCGGGUGAUCUAGUUGGAACCUGUCAGACAGUUGAAAGCGUCUGAGCAGGUCUCUGAGGCAUUUGCAUCCCCGUCUAUUCCUAUCUCUACCCACGUAGUCUACAUGCGUGUCCAAGGUAGCAUUCCAAUCCCCCACUAAGAGUAAAGGACGAGACGUUCCCAAGAAUACUUCUAGACGUUGAAAGAAAUCCGCCCGACCUGUUAAGGGCGGUGCGUAGACUGAUACGAGUCGAAAAGCGCACCCAUUGCUGCCGUCGACAUCCAAGACGACCAGUCUACCCUCCGGGUCUACGAAUAUUGUCUUUACUUUGAGAUCCAGACUCUUGCGAAAAAGUACCGCGGUGCCACUACUGCCCAUUCUUGGCAGACAGGGGGAAAAAUAAAUGUUGAACUGUCCGCCAAACAUGGUCUUUAGGACCCGUGGAUUGUGGAGUUUGGUCUCACUUAUGGCUAUGAUUUCUAACUUAUGUGACUUUAUGUCAUUUAAGAGGUACCCUUGUUUCCAAGGGGAUCCCAAGCCACGCGCAUUUACACAACCAAUCUUGAUCAUAAUCCUAAUGAAUUAGAAUACAAGUGAAAGGAACAGAGGGUUACUUACUGCUCGAAAGUUUUUGCUUUCUCCUCCUUUGGUUUGUCCUCGAGGAGAUCCCAGUACAGUUUCUUUGUGAGAUAUUUUUGGCAUUUACCAACCGCACUGGGGAAAAUGCCUUUGAGUGUGUGGUGCAGACUUUUGGAGAUGUGUAAUAUUUUGUUGUGGUCUGGUGGUGUUGUGUAUGGGUGAUUGUUUGUUUUUAUGUCAUCUUCUGUUAUGUUUGUUUUUGAUUUGAUGUAUUCCAUCAAAUUUGUGUUUUUGGUGUGUAUAGCUGUGAGCAUGUUUGCUGUAUAUAUUUUUGUGGUGUUGGUGUGGCUGUUGUUUGUGUUGGGUUUUGAAAUGUCUUCGAGAGAUGUAUUUCCCCCUGCUUUGUUUGUGUUUGCAUUUGGUUUGGUUGUGUUUCUGCUCUUUAUUUUCCUUCUUUUUGUAGCUAUUUGCCAUUCCUCACUGGUUUCGUCUUCCGACGAAAUUUCUGAGGAAUAAGUAGGGAGUAGGGGUAUGUUGUAGGCUUCUAUGUAUGUCUGUGUAAGUGGUUGUGCUGUUGUUUUCGUUGCUGUUGGUUGUUGAGUGUUUGUGUGUGGUGAGUGCGGUAUGAGGGAUGGGGAAUCAGUUUUUGUGUAUUUUCUUUGUUUUUCUGUUCCUUUGGUUCUUGCUGUUGUUGGUGGUGUUGGUAUUUUUUCAGGUGUUGAGUAAUUUUUGGUUGUUGACGGAUUAGCUUGGUGUGCUUCUCUUGUCGUCUUCUGUGUUGAUGGUGGUGUGGGUAGUAGAGCUUUUUUUCCGGAGUGUUUUGGUUGUGGUAGUGGUUGUUGUUGUUGCUCUUGGUGUGCAGCGGUUGGGCACGUCUUUUUCAAAUGUGUUUCACUUCCACACAAAUAGCAGCGUGGUCGCCUGCCCUCUACCAUUACAUAAAGUUUGUAGCCUCCUGGCAGUUCUUUAGUGGUGGGUAUCUUUUCUCUUGCUGUUUCAUCCAAUUGAAGAAGGAAUUGGAUUGAUUUUCCCACAUAGUCUUUCUGUUCUAGAACAGCGAUUUCAAGGAUGUUUGUCUCUGCCAUUUCAAAGCAGAUGGCAGAGACUAACCAUUGUGUUUCGACUUCAGGGGGUACAUUUUUUAUUUGGACUUUUCGUCACUCUAUGGUUUAAAUAGGUUGGUAUCAUUACCAAGUCGUCUGAAUGCAGCUCCAAUGUGGAAAAUCGUUUUGCUAAAUUUUCGUUGAGGAAAUGUACUUGGACUGUACCAAAUUUAUUUCCCCAACUGAUAUACUCCUUGGAGUCCCAUGCAGGACGAAGGCAUUUUAAAAUUUUUUCCUGCGGUGCAUUUUCUGGUCGUUUUGUUUUCUUGUUUAUUACUUUGUAGAUUAUUGGGUUUUUUUGUGUGUUUUCCACGAUGUGUUGUCGAGUGUGAAGAUGCAAUUUGUCUCCUUCUUUGGUGAAGAGUGCUUUUGUGAGGUUUAUUUCCUGUGUGGUGAAUUUUACGAUUGUUCGUUUUUGUUUUGUCGCAUCCGCGAAAUUCGUUUUAAUUUUGGUGGUGUUAGCAGCAGAAGGGUUAGUUAUAGCAGCUGAAGUCGUGGUAGUGGUGUUGGUGUUGGCGGUGCUGUCUUUGGUAGGCGGCUUUGUGCCGAUUUCGUUGUUGUUGUUGGUGGUGAUGGUGGUGGUGCUGGCAUUCGUUUUCGUCUGUAUUCGUUUUUGGGCAAUCUUUCGUCUCUAGUAGACCUUUCCGUCGAUUUCCGUAAAAAAAAUUUUUUUUUUAACAUAUGGGCUUGCGGGAACUUUUGAAGUAAUGAGAGCGAAAGAGACUAAGAGAAAGCGAUUGUAUGACAAGGGAAGUUCUUUUGAAGGUACCGUGCAUGGGAGCAUUGAUGGACAUGUGUGUGUGUGUGUGUGUGUUUGAUAGGGUGUGGGAGACAGACAGUAUGUUGUGUAAGUGAAGUGCUUCUGUUAGUGUGUGUGAAGAGACAAAGUAAUGUGUGAAAGAAAGAGAUAACUGAAAUUUUUUACUCGGUGUAUGUGUAUAUGUAUGUAUAUUACUUCAAAAGUUCCCGCAAGCCCAUAUGUAAAAAAAAAAAUUUUUUACGGAAAUCAACGGAAAGGUCUACUAGAGACGAAAGAUCGCCCGUUUUUGAAAUCCCUUUCUCCGUCCUUUUAUCAUCGACAAGUGGUGUAGGGAGUGGGGGCAAUCUAAGUUAAUGUCUUUGUUGUUGUUGGUGGUGGUGGUGACAGCGGUGUUCAAGCUGCGAGGUUUAGCAGCUAGUGGUAGCAAUAAUGUUUCGCUACCGUUCCGCAUGACUGGCGGGCUAGCCACGUGGUUUCUAGUUGCCAUUUUCAAAAUGAAAAAUGGCUAAAAGGAACCCACGAAAGUUUUGAAAGUUUUUGGUAAUUUCGCCCAUACAGGGGCGGAAUUCUACGUGAAUAAUUCUCAGGUUUUUUAGUGAAUGAACUCGCGCAACGAUUAAAACAAAAUAUUUGACAACAAGGAGUUUUAAACAUGUAAAAGUGGCCAACUUACAUGGAGCCGAUAUGACUAGCGUCCAUCCAUGUCGAGAUAGAUAAGAGAUAGAUAGAUAGAUAGAUAGAUAGACAGACAGACAGACAGACAGACAGACAGGCAGGCAGGUAGAAGGCAGGCAAAGAGACAGACAGACAGACACACACACACAUACACACACAGACAGAUAACUUUCUUUAUUGGCUACACAGGGCUGAACACAGAGGGGACAAAGACAGAUAGAUAGAUAGAUAGAUAAGGAGAGAGAGAGAGAGAGAUUACUAGAUAGAUAUGCUUGGAUAGAUAGAUAGAUAGAUAGAUAGAUAGAUAGAUAGAUAGAGGCACAAGGAGAGAGAGAGAAGAAGAGCAUGACGAAGGUGUUGUAUCAAGUUUGUGAAGCUGCAAACAAGGAAGUGAUGAAGUUUAACUCUUUAGCAUUUAAAGCAGCCAUAUCCAACCCAAAUAUUCUACCUGUUUUAUGUUCAGACCAGCCAGAUCUGGCCUUUCACACCUACCCUACAAUGCCAUUAUAAAAAAAAUAGACGAUGACAAUAUCAAAAUCUCAAAACCACAAGAUAAUGCAUGAUUAAUUGAAAACAUUGUGAAUAAAUAAGAAUUACAUUUGAUAGAAUGCAUUAUUUACAUUAUUUACAUUAUUUACAUUCAACAGAUAUUUGUCCUCAUCUUGUUUGUUGUUAACACGGUUCGGCUGAUAUACCC